AUGCUACUGAUGGAAGGGGAAAUGGGGAUUUUAAAGCAGAAACAUUGCCCAGGGACACAGAAGCCCUGGAAGCGGACUACUACUUCCAGAAUGGGUGAGUUCAUCGAAGAAUUUUCCACUAGCAAUCGACUUGUCAUUCGUAGAGGGAGAGAGCCGGAGACAGAGCAAAGGCUGGCCACACUGGCAGUGGUUGGCACUGCACAGAGUUGGAACCUGAUGAAACGGCCCCAUUUGAGUGCCUGCUGUAUCGUGUUGGCUCUGCUUCCUGCAGCUGUGCUCCGAAAUGAGCCUUUCAGUCAUUGCUCCCUAAUAGCCCCAUCUCCCCGAAUCCGGGAGGAUGCACAUUCCUCUCCUUGCUCACAUGCCCCACUUCAAGCCAUCUGCACACUCUACAGGGAACUUGCCACCUAACGUCCUGAUGUGCAACCCCAUCCAAAUCCUCUGCUGGAAUCUCACUGUUCACACCACUGAUGCCCCUGGCAGAAAGGCCAGUCUUCUUGUCUUUUUAUUCUAAAUGUUUAAUACAGAUUCCAU
RNAcentral lists this long non-coding RNA (534 nucleotides) under Rhinopithecus bieti (black snub-nosed monkey). RNAcentral's name for it is "lncRNA (ENSRBIG00000045678.1)". The record is from RNAcentral. Lineage: Eukaryota; Metazoa; Chordata; Mammalia; Primates; Cercopithecidae.